Molecule: non-coding RNA, 134 nt
Organism: Caenorhabditis elegans
Lineage: Eukaryota; Metazoa; Nematoda; Chromadorea; Rhabditida; Rhabditidae
Source: Ensembl
AGGACAAGCUGGUUGGAAAGAAAAAUACAAAAAAGUCGAUGGUCUAACAGAAUAACCAGAACGAGAUUGAUCGGGAAUUCGAUUGAGAAGAAAGCAAGAUUGUGUGAUGGUAGAUGGGAUGAUUGGUUGAGAUU